Molecule: unclassified non-coding RNA, 391 nt
Filed under: soil metagenome
Description: partial contains 5.8S ribosomal RNA, internal transcribed spacer 2, and large subunit ribosomal RNA
Rfam family: 5.8S ribosomal RNA (bases 1-122)
Source: RNAcentral
GAUGAAGAACGUAGCGAAAUGCGAUACUUGGUGUGAAUUGCAGAAUCCCGUGAACCAUCGAGUCUUUGAACGCAAGUUGCGCCCGAAGCCAUUAGGCCGAGGGCACGCCUGCCUGGGCGUCACACGUCGUUGCCCCCCCAUCUAAUCCUUCGGGAUUGCGGGGGGCGGCUGAUGGCCUCCCGUGCGCCUCGUCGCGCGGUUGGCAUAAAUGCCAAGUCCUCGGCGACGCACGCCACGACAAUCGGUGGUUGCGAAACCUCGGUUGCCCGUUGUGUGCGGUCGUCGCGCAUCGAGGGCUCGAAAAAAUUGCCGGGCUCCGGCUCGACUUUCAACGCGACCCCAGGUCAGGCGGGGUUACCCGCUGAAUUUAAGCAUAUCAAUAAGCGGAGGA